ACCGGAAUGGCUUCCUCUUCUCCCUGCUUCCAGCACUCCCGUGUUUAUGACAGGUCGGGUAGGGGAGCUUCAAGCAGGCCAGGAGGAGCAUAGAACAUGGACCUAGGUGUCCCCAAGGAGACAUUCUCAUACAGUAACUGCCCUCCCUGCACAUAGAGGACUACCCCUGCUAGCUCACCCCAGCCUUCGACAUUCUCCUACCAGACUCCACGUCCCCAGAUCAGCCUGUCACGUUGCGGGAAGGCAGCUCAAAGGCCACGGAGGGUUCCGGGUUGGAUUUUACCACACACAGGCACUGCACGGUGUCUCUGGCCGCUGCACAGUGCGAUUCCAGAAGGAUUAUGGGAGCAACUGCAAGAUUAAAAGCAAGGCUAAAGUAA
Molecule: long non-coding RNA, 380 nt
Filed under: Rattus norvegicus (Norway rat)
Lineage: Eukaryota; Metazoa; Chordata; Mammalia; Rodentia; Muridae
Description: long non-coding RNA NONRATT000592
Source: RNAcentral